Molecule: non-coding RNA, 334 nt
Organism: Pelobates cultripes (western spadefoot toad)
Lineage: Eukaryota; Metazoa; Chordata; Amphibia; Anura; Pelobatidae
Source: the annotation of a GenBank genome assembly
GGGCAACGGCCACAGCUUUAUUAACUUUACAACUUUUUAACGGACCAGCAUUCUAUCCAACUGUCAGCCGUUGGGUAACUCCCCCCAACAGACAUAUUCCACUUCCUUGUCCAGAGUUCGUAUCAGCCUGCCGACUGCCAUUAGCCCUCAGCAGGCUGCGACUCCCCAAGCCGACUCAUCGCUUCCCAUCACUUUCCAUUUCGCUGGCCAGGAGCACCGCCAGAGCUGUGACAAUGAGAAAACAAAAACCAGAAAAACAGCAACGCUGUACCAAGAAACACAGGGAGGGUGGGUGGGAAAGAGUCAGGUUCCUAACAGUCCUGGAUGCAGAUUG